Long non-coding RNA from Cyprinus carpio carpio, 710 nucleotides. NCBI's taxonomy places the organism in Eukaryota, Metazoa, Chordata, Actinopteri, Cypriniformes, Cyprinidae. The record is from Ensembl.
UGGAGCAAGCGUGUACGUCUGCAGACUGCAAGACAGGGGCGUAACUUGAAAGAGGCGUAACUUGAAGUAGGAGGCGUAACUUGAAGUUGUCGAAAUCUCACAGAAUCACGCGAGAUGUCAAAACGAUAAGUUGUUGAUUACGUUUUUUAAGGGAAGCAGAGGUUUUAGGCAGGAUUUGAUGCAUAAGGUGUGUGUAGAUAUUAAUGUUAGGGGAGAAUGUGAGUGAUGUGUACAUUUAGUAGGAAAACCUAUUAUCUGAUCCACACUCCGGGACAGAAGAGGGCGGUAUUGCACCAAUAAGCUGGAUGCCAACCGCCGUUAAACUGGAAAGAAGUUACAAUGAGUUACAAUGGAACAGAUUAUGUUUGUCUGCUGUAGAGUGACUGAAGAAGGAAUGCUGCCAUCAAAGGAUUUGUGUUAUGAAAAUGUCUGCAGACUGGUGUGUGCACUGAGGAUGGAGAAGUCCACUGCAGCAUCUGAAAAUGGUCCAGAGACACGGAUGAGACGCUCCAUCACUCCAGCUCUUACUGUCUCAUCAGGACCAGAUGCUGCUGUGGUCUCUUCAUCCUCAGUGACCCCUGAGCAGCGAGAGCAUCUAGAGAAAGACCAAAAGACACUGAGGAUUUGAUUUUGGUAAAGUUUGUUCUGCUGGUUUCUGUUUAUACGAUGAAGGCUGACUUUCAAAAGCAUCAUCAAAAAAUGUGAUGGAG